This 457-nucleotide transfer-messenger RNA is filed under the name Patescibacteria group. RNAcentral describes it as "UBA12473 sp000993615 X1 Standard tmRNA". It matches the Rfam family "transfer-messenger RNA". From Rfam's summary of the family: Bacterial tmRNA, also known as 10Sa RNA or SsrA, is named for its dual tRNA and mRNA-like properties. Its role is to liberate the mRNA from a stalled ribosome. To accomplish this part of the tmRNA is used as a reading frame that ends in a translation stop signal. The record is from RNAcentral.
GGGGAUGUACAGGCUUUGACAGGGAUUGCUCUGUCUUUUCACCGCCAUUACGGGAUGCACGGUCUCCCGUAAAGCCCGCCUAAGGCGGGCCUAAUCCGUUCGUGCACAAUCUAAAUGCAGAUUCUGAAGAAUCUACAGCUUUUGAUUAUCAGCAAGCAACUCGUGGAGGACUUUUGUCUAAGCAAUUUGCUUUUGCUGCUUAAUUUUAAGCACCGUGACUGCCCUAUCCGGCGGUCCCGUCUGAUUGAGUGAGGCUUCAUAGCUCAACUCAGGCGUAACCUUAUGAAGCUCGAAGUGUGGCUAAGGCAAUUGAGUAUGCACUUCUAAACUAACCAAUUCCCGCUCGAAGAGCUUUUGUUUCUUCUUUAUUCUUCGACUGUAAACAGGAGAAACUAUAAUCGGUAGACGUGAAAGACAACGUUUCUGGACGCGGGUUCGAUUCCCGCCAUCUCCACCA